RNAcentral lists this non-coding RNA (30 nucleotides) under Homo sapiens (human). The record is from RNAcentral. Lineage: Eukaryota; Metazoa; Chordata; Mammalia; Primates; Hominidae.
UCGCUCGGUUGGUGUAUCUGGUGCCCGAGA